ACAGUUCCACUCCAGUUCUAGAUCUGAGAAUAGAAGUUCAAAAUUAAAAACCAAAAAAUAAUAGAAAACCUUCAAAAAUAAAAAAAUAAAAAGUGUUUCGUUGGAAUUUGUAGUCUAAUUUUCGAGUCAGAUUGGUGUUUAGUCGAGUUAUUGGAUGGUUGUUUCUGAUUGCUGGGGGUUUUCUGGCACAGCUGGGUUCAAUCCCAAGUUCAUUUGAACUUGUUCAAGUGGUUUGUGGUCGAUUGUUUGGGUUUUGGUUGGGCUCAAACUCUUCCUGGAUUAUUGAAUCGAUUCAUGGUUGCUGUUUGAUUUCUGUUCGUGACUAUUGAUGACUUCUUCUUAUUCUUCAUUGCAUUUUCACUUUCAGGUACACAUUUGAAUCUCCACUGUAAUUCUGAGUUUGAAAAUGGAAUAAAAUUGACUGCCCGUUUGAUCCUGAAACACGCCUGCCUGGGCUGUUAUAUAUUAGUUGUCCAAUAGAUGUUGGGAUGUAAUUGUUAGCAUAGUUAAUAUCGAC
Molecule: long non-coding RNA, 517 nt
Filed under: Nicotiana benthamiana
Lineage: Eukaryota; Viridiplantae; Streptophyta; Magnoliopsida; Solanales; Solanaceae
Description: long non-coding RNA (NBEN_LNC021503)
Source: RNAcentral